CAUAUGGAGAGUUUGAUCCUGGCUCAGGAUGAACGCUGGCGGCGUGCCUAAUACAUGCAAGUCGAACGAAUGAAGUAACUAG
This 82-nucleotide ribosomal RNA is filed under the name Erysipelothrix sp. Its description in RNAcentral is "partial 16S ribosomal RNA". It matches the Rfam family "Bacterial small subunit ribosomal RNA", at positions 1 to 82 of the family's 1533-position model. Lineage: Bacteria; Bacillati; Bacillota; Erysipelotrichia; Erysipelotrichales; Erysipelotrichaceae. The record is from RNAcentral.